GAGCUUGCUCCUUUUGGUUUAGCGGCGGACGGGUGAGUAACACGUGGGCAACCUGCCCUGCAGAUCGGGAUAACUCCGGGAAACCGGUGCUAAUACCGAAUAGUUUGGCGCCUCUCCUGAGGCGCUACGGAAAGACGGCAUCUCGCUGUCACUGCAGGAUGGGCCCGCGGCGCAUUAGCUAGUUGGUGGGGUAACGGCCCACCAAGGCGACGAUGCGUAGCCGACCUGAGAGGGUGAUCGGCCACACUGGGACUGAGACACGGCCCAGACUCCUACGGGAGGCAGCAGUAGGGAAUCUUCCGCAAUGGACGCAAGUCUGACGGAGCAACGCCGCGUGAGUGACGAAGGUUUUCGGAUCGUAAAACUCUGUUGUGAGGGAAGAAACCGUGCCAAUUAACUACUGGCACCUUGACGGUACCUCACCAGAAAGCCACGGCUAACUACGUGCCAGCAGCCGCGGUAAUACGUAGGUGGCAAGCGUUGUCCGGAAUUAUUGGGCGUAAAGCGCGCGCAGGCGGUCCUUUAAGUCUGAUGUGAAAGCCCACGGCUCAACCGUGGAGGGUCAUUGGAAACUGGAGGACUUGAGUGCAGAAGAGGAAAGUGGAAUUCCACGUGUAGCGGUGAAAUGCGUAGAGAUGUGGAGGAACACCAGUGGCGAAGGCGACUUUCUGGUCUGUAACUGACGCUGAGGCGCGAAAGCGUGGGGAGCAAACAGGAUUAGAUACCC
RNAcentral lists this ribosomal RNA (727 nucleotides) under Planomicrobium sp. Its description in RNAcentral is "bacterial SSU rRNA". It matches the Rfam family "Bacterial small subunit ribosomal RNA", at positions 76 to 787 of the family's 1533-position model. The record is from RNAcentral. Lineage: Bacteria; Bacillati; Bacillota; Bacilli; Caryophanales; Caryophanaceae.